UCCCAUCUGUUGUUCAGUAAUUUAUAUAUUAAAUGGCAAAUUUAGCCAACAACUAAGUGUAAAUUAUGGGUAAAUAGAUGGAAAAGGUAAUAUUUGAAAAUUCAGAUACGAAUACUCUCCUAAUGUCUGUCUCUGAAAAAUCCUCUGGGACAUUCCCUUGGAAAGGUUAUACACGGUUGUCCUACUGCUCUCAGGACAGGAGGUUUGCUCUGGAAUAUGAGUUUGAGUCUUCCAAGAAGAUGCCUUAACCAAGUGACUCUGCUAUCUGCUCCCUGGCAACAGACUUGGCACAACUCCAUGGAAAAGAUACUCCAUUUUCCUAGGUCCCAGAACCUAUCUAUCUAUCUAUCUAUCUAUCUAUCUAUCUAUCUAUCUAUCUAUCUAUCUAUCUAUCUAAUGUAUGUGUGUAUGUGUAUGUGUGUGUGCUUGAAAAGUAAGCUUAUGUUAAUGAGAGCCAGUGAAAGGGGAAACAAAUAUUUUGUUUUGUCAAAACAAAAUGAGUAUCUGCCACAAAUGUUGGUACAAACCUACGUUGGUGCCAAUUCCUCAACAGGGAGAGAAGAUAUGAUUGGCUGGCAACUCAAUAGCCAUUAUCAAGAAUCUUUCCUGGUCUGGGCUCCCUUUUUUGGGUCACCUCAUCUGCAACAGACUAUGAGACAGCUGCCUGUUACUCAGGCUUCUGAGUGAUGUAACACGACACCCAGCGUAUCCUGCUUUUGAAAGGAAACUUCGAUGGUGGUUGGCAAAUUACCAUUCACAGCUCUGGCUGAUGGAGUCACCGGAGAGGCGAGAGAGCCGCCGCCGCACCUGGUGUCUGUAAUUACAGGCUUUCACCGGAGGAAAGAAGGGAUGAAGCGGCCAAAUACAGCUGAGCGCAGAGACAGGGAGGGGUUGCCCAGGGCUGGACAGGAAAAGCCAGCAGCCGAGGAUGCUGUUCCGCUCCGCGCCGCGCCCCGCCGCCCCGCCCCACUCUGUACCCUCAUCUCCUUACUUGGGGCUUGUCUGUUUCCUUUUCUUUCUGUUUUUCCUCAUCUCAGAACUCUUUGUCCGACUUCCCGCAGCAGCGUGCUGUAAGGAAGAAAUCAAAGCUCUUGAGGCACCC
Molecule: long non-coding RNA, 1102 nt
Organism: Mus musculus (house mouse)
Lineage: Eukaryota; Metazoa; Chordata; Mammalia; Rodentia; Muridae
Product: predicted gene, 33785
Exons: 2
Source: RefSeq, a predicted model, not a curated record